This 499-nucleotide long non-coding RNA is filed under the name Equus caballus (horse). RNAcentral's name for it is "lncRNA (ENSECAG00000048501.1)". Lineage: Eukaryota; Metazoa; Chordata; Mammalia; Perissodactyla; Equidae. The record is from RNAcentral.
UGUCUGUUGGACCGUGUGACCCUGGGGCCGCAGCGUUGACGUGGCUGCCUGCAAAGGGAGGAAAACCUCGUCCUGCACGAACAAGGAGAAGGACACGUACAGGGAGUGUCUGAUGCCUGACGGCUUCCCGAGGUCAGGUGGUCCCGGGUGACCUCUAUAAGGCUACAGAACAUAAUGUCAGCAACGUGCUGGUACUUCACAUCCUAAAGAACGUGGAAGGAGCUGAUCUCCCUGAGGGCAGGGGCUUUGUCUCGGUCACUGCUGUACCCUGGCACUUACAACAGGGCCUGACUUGUGGGACCCUUCUCUUCAGGUUCCACUGUCAUCAGAAGACCUGCUUUUUGUUCCAGCCUCCUGUUUGCUUCAGCACAUGUUGGGAUCAAGUAUUACUUUAGGUGCUGGAGAUAAAAAGCCCUUUGAACUACAAUGCAAAUCCACCAAAAAAAAGUCAACGAAACUCAAAGUGGUUUUGUACUUCGGGAGUCAUAAGUCAUUUCAG